CACUCUGGGACAAGCCCUGGAAACGGGGUCUAAUACCGGAUACUGAUCCUCGCGGGCAUCUGCGAGGUUCGAAAGCUCCGGCGGUGCAGGAUGAGCCCGCGGCCUAUCAGCUUGUUGGUGAGGUAAUGGCUCACCAAGGCGACGACGGGUAGCCGGCCUGAGAGGGCGACCGGCCACACUGGGACUGAGACACGGCCCAGACUCCUACGGGAGGCAGCAGUGGGGAAUAUUGCACAAUGGGCGAAAGCCUGAUGCAGCGACGCCGCGUGAGGGAUGACGGCCUUCGGGUUGUAAACCUCUUUCAGCAGGGAAGAAGCGAAAGUGACGGUACCUGCAGAAGAAGCGCCGGCUAACUACGUGCCAGCAGCCGCGGUAAUACGUAGGGCGCAAGCGUUGUCCGGAAUUAUUGGGCGUAAAGAGCUCGUAGGCGGCUUGUCGCGUCGGUUGUGAAAGCCCGGGGCUUAACCCCGGGUCUGCAGUCGAUACGGGCAGGCUAGAGUUCGGUAGGGGAGAUCGGAAUUCCUGGUGUAGCGGUGAAAUGCGCAGAUAUCAGGAGGAACACCGGUGGCGAAGGCGGAUCUCUGGGCCGAUACUGACGCUGAGGAGCGAAAGCGUGGGGAGCGAACAGGAUUAGAUACCCUGGUAGUCCACGCCGUAAACGGUGGGCACUAGGUGUGGGCAACAUUCCACGUUGUCCGUGCCGCAGCUAACGCAUUAAGUGC
RNAcentral lists this ribosomal RNA (722 nucleotides) under Actinomycetes bacterium. RNAcentral's name for it is "bacterial SSU rRNA". It matches the Rfam family "Bacterial small subunit ribosomal RNA", at positions 134 to 867 of the family's 1533-position model. Lineage: Bacteria; Bacillati; Actinomycetota; Actinomycetes. The record is from RNAcentral.